This is a non-coding RNA of Pelobates cultripes (western spadefoot toad), 728 nucleotides long. The record is from the annotation of a GenBank genome assembly. NCBI's taxonomy places the organism in Eukaryota, Metazoa, Chordata, Amphibia, Anura, Pelobatidae.
GUGUAUCUGCAUGUGUGUCAGGUAGUGUAUUUGUGUGUAUCUAUAUGUAGUCAGGGGGCCCAAGUAAAUGCUUGCCCAGAGUCCAAUCAAAAUUAAAGACGGCCCUGGUGAUGAGGAUAGUUAUUGCACACUAAUUUUACCAAUAGAAAGGGCAUUUUAUAGCCUUGAAGGAAUAGACUGUGUAAUCUAUGUCAUUAGAAUCGAAUGCUUAUCCUCUUGAAAAUCCUGCAUAUGAAGGAUUCUCUCCUAUUAUUCUAUUUAACAAGUGCAUUUCCAGGCAUUAUUUGAAGUUAAGUAACGGUUGAGUCUUUUUUUCUGAAAUGUCCAUACUGGUAAUAAUAAACUAUAUAUUUCUUUUUAUGAAAAUAGAAAAGGUGUUGACUGAACAAGAGUGGCUUAUUCCAAUUGGUGAUUAAUUCUGCAACUGUAGACACAUGUAAACAUCAGCUGGUGUUUAAUUGAGGGUUAAAAAAAAAAAAAAGCAUUACAGUGGGUAAAAUGGAGAUCUAAAAUGUGUUCUUUUUUCUGGUUUCCUUUGUAGUAGGCAAGCUUUAAAGGUUGUAAUGUUCCUAUGGAUUUCUAAAAGUAAUUUACUGUAAACUAAGUAUAAUUCACCUAGAGUAAACUGGGAUGUAGGAAUUUGGAGCAUUUGUUUUAUGGGUUGACUGAUGUUUAAUUUUACAGUUUUCCUAUAAUAAAAUCUUACUUGAUUUAAAAAAAAAAAAAAA